GACGAACGCUGGCGGCGUGCUUAACACAUGCAAGUCGAGCGGAAAGGCCCUUCGGGGUACUCGAGCGGCGAACGGGUGAGUAACACGUGAGUAACCUGCCCUUGGCUCUGGGAUAAGCCUAAGAAAUUGGGUCUAAUACCGGAUAUGACCUUUACCCGCAUGGGUUUCGGUGGAAAGUUUUUCGGCCAGGGAUGGACUCGCGGUCUAUCAGCUUGUUGGUGGGGUGAUGGCCUACCAAGGCGACGACGGAUAGCCGGCCUGAGAGGGUGACCGGCCACACUGGGACUGAGACACGGCCCAGACUCCUACGGGAGGCAGCAGUGGGGAAUAUUGCGCAAUGGGCGGAAGCCUGACGCAGCGACGCCGCGU
RNAcentral lists this ribosomal RNA (369 nucleotides) under uncultured bacterium. RNAcentral describes it as "bacterial SSU rRNA". It matches the Rfam family "Bacterial small subunit ribosomal RNA", at positions 28 to 402 of the family's 1533-position model. The record is from RNAcentral.